AGCCGCCGCGGUAAUACGGAGGGUGCAAGCGUUAUCCGGAAUCACUGGGUUUAAAGGGUGCGCAGGCGGCCUGGUAAGUCAGGGGUGAAAGCUUCCCGCUCAACGGGAGAACUGCCCUUGAUACUGCCAGGCUCGAAUUGGGUUGAGGCCGGCGGAAUGUGGCAUGUAGCGGUGAAAUGCUUAGAUAUGCCAUAGAACACCGAUUGCGAAGGCAGCCGGCCAAGCCUUGAUUGACGCUGAGGCACGAAAGCGUGGGGAGCGAACAGG
RNAcentral lists this ribosomal RNA (267 nucleotides) under uncultured prokaryote. Its description in RNAcentral is "partial 16S ribosomal RNA". It matches the Rfam family "Bacterial small subunit ribosomal RNA", at positions 510 to 776 of the family's 1533-position model. The record is from RNAcentral.